UACGUAGGGUGCAAGCGUUGUCCGGAAUUAUUGGGCGUAAAGAGCUCGUAGGCGGUCUGUCGCGUCGAAUGUGAAAACCCGGGGCUCAACUCCGGGCCUGCAUUCGAUACGGGCAGACUAGAGUUCGGUAGGGGAGUCUGGAAUUCCUGGUGUAGCGGUGAAAUGCGCAGAUAUCAGGAGGAACACCGAUAGCGAAGGCAGCUCGCUGGGACGUUACUGACACUGAGGCGCGAAAGCGUGGGGAGCGAACAGG
This 253-nucleotide ribosomal RNA is filed under the name uncultured bacterium. Its description in RNAcentral is "partial 16S ribosomal RNA". It matches the Rfam family "Bacterial small subunit ribosomal RNA", at positions 524 to 776 of the family's 1533-position model. The record is from RNAcentral.